This 266-nucleotide ribosomal RNA is filed under the name Symbiodinium sp. CCMP2430. Its description in RNAcentral is "partial Bacterial small subunit ribosomal RNA". It matches the Rfam family "Bacterial small subunit ribosomal RNA", at positions 1145 to 1410 of the family's 1533-position model. The record is from RNAcentral. Lineage: Eukaryota; Dinophyceae; Suessiales; Symbiodiniaceae.
GAGACUGCCGGUGACAAACCGGAGGAAGGUGGGGAUGACGUCAAGUCCUCAUGGCCCUUACGGGCUGGGCUACACACGUGCUACAAUGGUGCGCACAGAGGGCUGCAAACCCGCGAGGGGGAGCCAAUCUCACAAAACGCAUCGUAGUCCGGAUCGCAGUCUGCAACUCGACUGCGUGAAGUCGGAAUCGCUAGUAAUCGCGGAUCAGAAUGCCGCGGUGAAUACGUUCCCGGGCCUUGUACACACCGCCCGUCACACCAUGGGAG